This 336-nucleotide long non-coding RNA is filed under the name Paramuricea clavata. The record is from RNAcentral. Lineage: Eukaryota; Metazoa; Cnidaria; Anthozoa; Malacalcyonacea; Plexauridae.
GGGGGGGACAAGUUGGGCGCCGAAGCCGCGAACACUGAAAACAAUUAGUGAGUUUAAGAUACCCCGGUUUCGGUGUACGGGUACGAGUAGUGUCAUCUUGUUUACUAUAGUUUUUACUGAUGCCUGUAAUUCAAUCAUACUUUUUCUGUUUUCUUGCAAUAGACAAUGAUAUAAUGCGGAAAAUGUGCACCUUAAUUACGAGUAAAGGUACAGACAUGGACGAAAAUAUUGCUAACCAAAAUCAUGCUACCCGUACUCGUACACCGAAACCGGGGUAUCUUAACCUCUCUAAUAAGCGAAAUUAACCCUUUGAAAUGACAAAGCACCAAAACGAGG